GACGAACGCUGGCGGCGUGCCUAAUACAUGCAAGUAGAACGCUGAAGGAGGAGCUUGCUCUUCUGGAUGAGUUGCGAACGGGUGAGUAACGCGUAGGUAACCUGCCUGGUAGCGGGGGAUAACUAUUGGAAACGAUAGCUAAUACCGCAUAACAGUAGAUGCUGCAUGACAUUUGCUUAAAAGGUGCAAUUGCAUCACUACCAGAUGGACCUGCGUUGUAUUAGCUAGUUGGUGGGGUAACGGCUCACCAAGGCGACGAUACAUAGCCGACCUGAGAGGAUGAUCGGCCACACUGGGACUGAGACACGGCCCAGACUCCUACGGGAGGCAGCAGUAGGGAAUCUUCGGCAAGGGACGGAAGUCUGACCGAGCAACGCCGCGGGAGGGAAGAAGGGUUUCGGAUCGUAAAGCUCUGUUGUAAGAGAAGAACGAGUGUGAGAGUGGAAAGUUCACACUGUGACGGUAUCUUACCAGAAAGGGACGGCUAACUACGUG
This 495-nucleotide ribosomal RNA is filed under the name uncultured bacterium. RNAcentral's name for it is "partial 16S ribosomal RNA". It matches the Rfam family "Bacterial small subunit ribosomal RNA", at positions 28 to 507 of the family's 1533-position model. The record is from RNAcentral.